AUUGAACGCUGGCGGCAUGCCUUACACAUGCAAGUCGAACGGCAGCACGGGGCAACCUGGUGGCGGGUGGCGAACGGGUGAGUAAUGCAUCGGAACGUGCCAUUGAGUGGGGGAUAACGUAGCGAAAGUUGCGCUAAUACCGCAUAUUCUGUGAGCAGGAAAGCAGGGGACCGCAAGGCCUUGCGCUCUUUGAGCGGCCGAUGUCAGAUUAGCUAGUUGGUGAGGUAACGGCUUACCAAGGCGACGAUCUGUAGCGGGUCUGAGAGGAUGAUCCGCCACACUGGAACUGAGACACGGUCCAGACUCCUACGGGAGGCAGCAGUGGGGAAUUUUGGACAAUGGGCGCAAGCCUGAUCCAGCCAUGCCGCGUGAGUGAAGAAGGCCUUC
RNAcentral lists this ribosomal RNA (387 nucleotides) under uncultured bacterium. Its description in RNAcentral is "bacterial SSU rRNA". It matches the Rfam family "Bacterial small subunit ribosomal RNA", at positions 30 to 419 of the family's 1533-position model. The record is from RNAcentral.